This 302-nucleotide ribosomal RNA is filed under the name uncultured bacterium. RNAcentral describes it as "bacterial SSU rRNA". It matches the Rfam family "Bacterial small subunit ribosomal RNA", at positions 30 to 334 of the family's 1533-position model. The record is from RNAcentral.
AUUGAACGCUGGUGGCAUGCUUAACACAUGCAAGUCGGACGGUAACAGUGAUGCUUGCAUCAGCUGACGAGUGGCGGACGGGUGAGUAACGCGUAGGGACCUGCCAUAGAGAGGGGGAUAACCAUUGGAAACGAUGGCUAAUACCGCAUAAUACCUAAGGGUUAAAGGUGGCUUUCGGGCUGCCACUUUAUGAUGGACCUGCGUUAGAUUAGCUAGUUGGUGGGGUAAAGGCCUACCAAGGCGACGAUCUAUAGCUGUUCUGAGAGGAAGAUCAGCCACACUGGGACUGAGACACGGCCCAG